UAGCUCAGGGGCAGAGCACUUGCCCGACAUGCAAGAGGCCCUGGGUUCCAUUCCCAG
RNAcentral lists this transfer RNA (57 nucleotides) under Heterocephalus glaber (naked mole-rat). It matches the Rfam family "tRNA", at positions 8 to 63 of the family's 71-position model. Rfam says of the family: Transfer RNA (tRNA) molecules are approximately 80 nucleotides in length. Their secondary structure includes four short double-helical elements and three loops (D, anti-codon, and T loops). The record is from Rfam by way of RNAcentral. Lineage: Eukaryota; Metazoa; Chordata; Mammalia; Rodentia; Bathyergidae.